AUCAGUAGGGAGGCCAAUUAGAACUGUACAUUUCCUAUUGCUAGAUCUAUUAUUUUAAAACAUACAGUAAUUGGACCAGUUUCUGUGAAUUAAACCUAGAUGUUUAAGAUUGUGGGUGUGAGGAUUUCACAUAUGGCAUUGGCAUUUUGAAACUCUGUCGUUUGCAUCACCUGCCAUACAAACCUUUCCGGGGGAAAAAAAAGUACAAUUUUGAUUGUUUUGAAUUAUCAUCUGCGUGCCACGUGUAUAAUAGAUUACUAACAUAGUAACACCGUUGUUACACAUCUGACCAUCUACCGAACAAAUUUGAUUAUUUCCACCAGAACCUGAGCAUUAUCGAGGGCCCAAGCUUAAAGUUGCUAUUAUUAGAGCUGGGUUGGCUGGCAUGUCUACUGCAGUGGAGCUUUUGGAUCAAGGCCAUGAGGUUGAUAUUUAUGAUUCACGGUCUUUCAUUGGUGGAAAAGUGGGCUCAUUUGUAGAUAAGCAUGGGAAUCACAUUGAGAUGGGACUUCAUGUCUUCUUCAGUUGUUACAACAACCUUUUUUGCCUGAUGAAAAAGGUGUAAUCCCCAUCCUUUGUCAUAAAACUCAAUCUCUGGACCCAGAAAUGUGAACCAUCUCCAGUGAGUUGAGGCAUAUUGAUGGGUUAAUUGACAUUGGAGUAAUUAUUUCAAUGCAAUUAGUAGCAGUCCUUGUGUUUACUUGCUCUCAAUUUGAAUUGCCUAUCCUAAGAUAUUGAUGGGUUAAUUGACAUUGUAAUAAAUUCUUUAAAAGAACGGACGGGAAAUCAUUUUCUCUUAGGAACAACCAUAUGGCUGUUUUGUUCAUUUCUGUAUUGAAGUUUCAGUUGGUAGUUAAGCUUUCAUUUCCAUUUAAGCAGCAAAUAUAACAAGACACUUUACAAGCCUCCUCUGGAACUUCUUCAGAUUCUUCCUGAAAAGUUGACAAUUAGAGUUAUGCUACCAAAUCCUCAUGCCAGAUGCACAUUUGAUAUUGUUUUUAAGUUUAUUCUGAGUACUUGCUUCCUUUGAAACAAACUGUAGUUUAUAGUAGCUAUUCAUGUAUGGUUGUUGAAUGGAUGUCUCCUAGAUGAUAUUUUCUUCUCUUGUUUCCAAAAUUACAGCACCAUAUCUAAGUUGAAGGAUAUACAAAUAGGGGAAAUUGUUGCUUCAAAAGAGAUAUUAAUAGGUUCUUUAACAAAGGAGGUAUUGUUGCUUCGAAAGAGAUAUUAAUAGGUUCCAAAAUUCAUGCAUCUCUUCUUUUUUAUUGUCCUUUUCUCAAGUUUUAAACUAAAAAACACUUCAUGGAUUGACCACCAAAAUCUUAUCUUUUGUAGUAUAGUCUGGCCCAACAUUUGCUAACUACACACGCACCUUUACACGUAUGCCCAGGGGUCAUGAAAUUCCCCUUGGAUGGGAAGCAAAUUUUACUUGUUUGUGAUUCUUUUCCAUGUGCUGGCUUCUUUACACGCCUAGCCAAGACUCGGUGAGUUUGGUAUCCCUGAUUCAGUGGUUUGUACAAGAUUUCAUAUAGGAUUGGCUAUUGGCUUGUAUUCCGGCAUCACAUAUGGCCUACAAGAAGCUUAGGGAGCUCAUGAUUUGGUAACUUUCACAUGCUUUUAUUUGUCCGCUUUUUAUCUUAAAGAUUCGAUUAGUUACAUGUGUGGACCCAUGCAUCCAUAUAGGAGGCAUGAUCUUCA
Magnolia sinica is the source of this 1698-nucleotide long non-coding RNA. RefSeq lists it as uncharacterized. NCBI's taxonomy places the organism in Eukaryota, Viridiplantae, Streptophyta, Magnoliopsida, Magnoliales, Magnoliaceae. The transcript is spliced from 3 exons. The record is from RefSeq and is a predicted model, not a curated record.